GGCUGGUCCGAUGGCAGUGGGUUAUCAGAACUUAUUAACAUUAGUGUCACUAAAGUUGGUAUACCACCCCCCCACUGCUAAAUUUGACUGGCUUUUU
Molecule: unclassified non-coding RNA, 97 nt
Organism: Cavia porcellus (domestic guinea pig)
Lineage: Eukaryota; Metazoa; Chordata; Mammalia; Rodentia; Caviidae
Rfam family: Y RNA
About the family: Y RNAs are components of the Ro ribonucleoprotein particle (Ro RNP), in association with Ro60 and La proteins. The Y RNAs and Ro60 and La proteins are well conserved, but the function of the Ro RNP is not known. In humans the RNA component can be one of four small RNAs -- hY1, hY3, hY4 and hY5.
Source: Ensembl